AAGAUCCGUCAAAAUAGUCCGUACAUAUUUCGUGUCGAUCCGGUAUAUAUUUUAGACUCAUGUUGUGGAAAGCUUCAACAUUGCCAAAUAAAUGAAGUUCGGAAUUAUAAUUAUGUCUUUUACUCGUUUAAAUCUAUUAGUUUAAAUUUCAGUUUUGUUUCAGUUGAUUAAUAUAGUAGCUUACAUUUGAUGUGAGAACUGUUAGUUAAUCAUCCCUUUGAAAUUCGCAUAAGCUUUGUAAUAAUGUUAUUUAUUUCAGAAUUUCAUUAAGUAUAGCUAUAUUCAAAUUAUAAGAUAGGGAACAUGGCAGAAAGCUAGCCAUUAAUUAAAUCUUAUGA
Molecule: non-coding RNA, 338 nt
Organism: Nicotiana tabacum (common tobacco)
Lineage: Eukaryota; Viridiplantae; Streptophyta; Magnoliopsida; Solanales; Solanaceae
Source: RefSeq, a predicted model, not a curated record